Molecule: ribosomal RNA, 397 nt
Filed under: uncultured bacterium
Lineage: Bacteria
Description: partial 16S ribosomal RNA
Rfam family: Bacterial small subunit ribosomal RNA
Source: RNAcentral
AUACGUAGGGGGCGAGCGUUGUCCGGAAUGAUUGGGCGUAAAGGGCGCGUAGGCGGCCCGGUAAGUCUGGAGUGAAAGUCCUGCUUUCAAGGUGGGAAUUGCUUUGGAUACUGCCGCGCUUGAGUGCAGGAGAGGUUAUCGGAAUUCCCGGUGUAGCGGUGAAAUGCGUAGAGAUCGGGAGGAACACCAGUGGCGAAGGCGGGUAACUGGACUGCAACUGACGCUGAGGCGCGAAAGUGUGGGGAGCAAACAGGAUUAGAUACCCUGGUAGUCCACACUGUAAACGAUGAAUGCUAGGUGUAGGGGGUAUCGACCCCUUCUGUGCCGCAGUCAACACGAUAAGCAUUCCGCCUGGGGAGUACGGCCGCAAGGUUGAAACUCAAAGGAAUUGGCGGGG